AUCCAUCUGACGAGUCCCAAAUAGGACGUAAGGCAUGUCCUGGAU
This 45-nucleotide non-coding RNA is filed under the name Schistosoma bovis. The record is from RNAcentral. Lineage: Eukaryota; Metazoa; Platyhelminthes; Trematoda; Strigeidida; Schistosomatidae. RNAcentral also lists the same sequence under 2 other names.